This is a long non-coding RNA of Dendroctonus ponderosae (mountain pine beetle), 360 nucleotides long. RefSeq lists it as uncharacterized. Lineage: Eukaryota; Metazoa; Arthropoda; Insecta; Coleoptera; Curculionidae. The transcript has 2 exons. The record is from RefSeq and is a predicted model, not a curated record.
UGGCAUAUAUUAUUAUAUAUAUAUGUGUGUGUGUGUAUAUAUAUAACGUGUUUUAAUUGAUGAAUAGACAAUGAAUGGCUGAGGCCCAGGAAUUGACUUUGAUUUGUAAUACUAAAGAUUGUUGUUCUUUUUUUCCAGGUGGCACCAUGCAGCUUUCGGUAAUCUUCACGGCAUUAAAAUGUUAAAAUAGUGUAGAAUCCAGACCAAAAUGCCUAAAGGUAGGAGGAACUUGUGUAUUGCUUUGUGAUGGUUUAGCAGUUAGCGCCCUAAGAGUCUGCUAGUGAUCCCGGACUACUUAAUUAGAUAUUGGCCUGUUUUUGUCAAAUUUUACACUCUAAGUAAACCAUUGUUUCCAAAUGA